UAUAGGGAGGAAAAGAAACCAACCGGGAUUGCCUUAGUAACGGCGAGUGAAGCGGCAAAAGCUCAAAUUUGAAAUCUGGUACCUUCGGUGCCCGAGUUGUAAUUUGGAGAGGGCAACUUUGGGGCCGUUCCUUGUCUAUGUUCCUUGGAACAGGACGUCAUAGAGGGUGAGAAUCCCGUGUGGCGAGGAGUGCGGUUCUUUGUAAAGUGCCUUCGAAGAGUCGAGUUGUUUGGGAAUGCAGCUCUAAGUGGGUGGUAAAUUCCAUCUAAAGCUAAAUAUUGGCGAGAGACCGAUAGCGAACAAGUACAGUGAUGGAAAGAUGAAAAGAACUUUGAAAAGAGAGUGAAAAAGUACGUGAAAUUGUUGAAAGGGAAGGGCAUUUGAUCAGACAUGGUGUUUUGUGCCCUCUGCUCCUUGUGGGUAGGGGAAUCUCGCAUUUCACUGGGCCAGCAUCAGUUUUGGUGGCAGGAUAAAUCCAUAGGAAUGUAGCUUGCCUCGGUAAGUAUUAUAGCCUGUGGGAAUACUGCCAGCUGGGACUGAGGACUGCGACGUAAGUCAAGGAUGCUGCAUAGCGACGU
This 578-nucleotide ribosomal RNA is filed under the name Saccharomyces cerevisiae (brewer's yeast). RNAcentral's name for it is "partial large subunit ribosomal RNA". It matches the Rfam family "Eukaryotic large subunit ribosomal RNA", at positions 47 to 638 of the family's 3401-position model. The record is from RNAcentral. Lineage: Eukaryota; Fungi; Ascomycota; Saccharomycetes; Saccharomycetales; Saccharomycetaceae.